CAAAAACAUCGCCUCUAGAUCACUUAUUAGAGGUCCAGCCUGCCCGGUGACAAAGUUUAACGGCCGCGGUAUCCUAACCGCGCGAAGGUAGCAUAAUCACUUGUUCUUUAAAUAGGGACUAGUAUCAACGGCAUCACGAAGGUUACACUGUCUCCUCCCUCCAAUCAGUGAAACUGAUCUCCCCGUGAAGAAGCGGGGAUAAAAAUAUAAGACGAGAAGACCCCAUGGAGCUUUAAGCUCAAUAACAAUUUUCUAACAACAAUCCCACCAAUCCAGAAAACCCUGAUUAUUAGCUUUAGGUUGGGGUGACCGCGGAGUAAAACACAGCCUCCACGACGAAUGGGCUUCAACCCCCUUAUCCAAGAGCCACUGCUCUAAGAAUCAUUAAUUUGACGAAAAAUGAUCCGAUCUUCGAUCAACGGACCAAGUUACC
This 433-nucleotide ribosomal RNA is filed under the name Cacosternum nanogularum (small-throated dainty frog). Its description in RNAcentral is "partial 16S ribosomal RNA". It matches the Rfam family "Bacterial large subunit ribosomal RNA", at positions 1808 to 2467 of the family's 2925-position model. Lineage: Eukaryota; Metazoa; Chordata; Amphibia; Anura; Pyxicephalidae. The record is from RNAcentral.